Molecule: ribosomal RNA, 497 nt
Filed under: uncultured bacterium
Lineage: Bacteria
Description: partial 16S ribosomal RNA
Rfam family: Bacterial small subunit ribosomal RNA
Source: RNAcentral
GAUGAACGCUGGCGGCGUGCCUAAUACAUGCAAGUCGAGCGAACAGACGAGGAGCUUGCUCCUCUGACGUUAGCGGCGGACGGGUGAGUAACACGUGGAUAACCUACCUAUAAGACUGGGAUAACUUCGGGAAACCGGAGCUAAUACCGGAUAAUAUAUUUAACCGCAUGGUUCAAUAGUGAAAGACGGUUUUGCUGUCACUUAUAGAUGGAUCCGCGCCGCAUUAGCUAGUUGGUAAGGUAACGGCUUACCAAGGCAACGAUGCGUAGCCGACCUGAGAGGGUGAUCGGCCACACGGGAACUGAGACACGGUCCAGACUCCUACGGGAGGCAGCAGUAGGGAAUCUUCCGCAAUGGGCGAAAGCAUGACGGAGCAACGCCGCGUGAGUGAUGAAGGUCUUCGGAUCGUAAAACUCUGUUAUUAGGGAAGAACAAAUGUGUAAGUAACUAUGCACGUCUUGACGGUACCUAAUCAGAAAGCCACGGCUAACUACGUG